UUCCGUAGGUGAACCUGCGGGAGGAUCAUUA
Molecule: ribosomal RNA, 31 nt
Filed under: Rumenfilaria andersoni
Lineage: Eukaryota; Metazoa; Nematoda; Chromadorea; Rhabditida; Onchocercidae
Description: partial 18S ribosomal RNA
Source: RNAcentral